GGGAAGGUGGCUCAGUGGUAGAGCGCUUGCCUCCCAUGCCUGAGGCCCUGGGUUCGAUUCCUCAGCACCCCA
Dipodomys ordii (Ord's kangaroo rat) is the source of this 72-nucleotide non-coding RNA. NCBI's taxonomy places the organism in Eukaryota, Metazoa, Chordata, Mammalia, Rodentia, Heteromyidae. The record is from Rfam.